This 265-nucleotide ribosomal RNA is filed under the name uncultured archaeon. Its description in RNAcentral is "partial 16S ribosomal RNA". It matches the Rfam family "Archaeal small subunit ribosomal RNA", at positions 716 to 982 of the family's 1478-position model. The record is from RNAcentral.
AGUCACUGACAUUAGAUACCCGCGUAGUCCAGGGUGUAAACGCUGCAGACUUGGUGUUGGAAGCCCUUUGGGGGCAUUCAGUGCCGGAGAGAAGUUGUUAAGUCUGCUACUUGGGGAGUACGUCCGCAAGGAUGAAACUUAAAGGAAUUGGCGGGGGAGCACCGCAACGGGAGGAGCGUGCGGUUUAAUUGGAUUCAACACCGUAAAACUCACCAGGGAAGACUGUUACAUGAAAGCCGAGAUGAAGACUCUGCUAGAUUUUCAG